This 269-nucleotide ribosomal RNA is filed under the name uncultured prokaryote. RNAcentral's name for it is "partial 16S ribosomal RNA". It matches the Rfam family "Bacterial small subunit ribosomal RNA", at positions 524 to 792 of the family's 1533-position model. The record is from RNAcentral.
UACGGAGGAUCCGAGCGUUAUCCGGAUUUAUUGGGUUUAAAGGGUGCGCAGGCGGGAGAUUAAGUCGGCGGUGAAAUUUUGCAGCUCAACUGUAAAAGUGCCUUCGAUACUGGUUUCCUUGAGUGUGGAUGAAGUAGGCGGAAUUAGUGGUGUAGCGGUGAAAUGCUUAGAUAUCACGAGGAACUCCGAUUGCGCAGGCAGCUUACUAAACCACUACUGACGCUCAGGCACGAAGGCGUGGGGAUCAAACAGGAUUAGAUACCCUGGUA